UGGUGAUUUGAGUCGCGCUUUCCAGCUGC
This 29-nucleotide non-coding RNA is filed under the name Mus musculus (house mouse). Lineage: Eukaryota; Metazoa; Chordata; Mammalia; Rodentia; Muridae. The record is from RNAcentral.